GUGGGGAAUCUUAGACAAUGGGGGAAACCCUGAUCUAGCCAUGCCGCGUGAGCGAUGAAGGCCUUAGGGUUGUAAAGCUCUUUCAGCUGGGAAGAUAAUGACUGUACCAGCAGAAGAAGCCCCGGCUAACUCCGUGCCAGCAGCCGCGGUAAUACGGAGGGGGCUAGCGUUGUUCGGAAUUACUGGGCGUAAAGCGCACGUAGGCGGACCGGAAAGUCAGAGGUGAAAUCCCAGGGCUCAACCUUGGAACUGCCUUUGAAACUCCUGGUCUUGAGGUCGAGAGAGGUGAGUGGAACUCCGAGUGUAGAGGUGAAAUUCGUAGAUAUUCGGAAGAACACCAGUGGCGAAGGCGACUCACUGGCCCGUUACUGACGCUGAGGCGCGAAAGCGUGGGGAGCGAACAGGAUUAGAAACCCCAGUAGUCC
Molecule: ribosomal RNA, 425 nt
Filed under: uncultured bacterium
Lineage: Bacteria
Description: partial 16S ribosomal RNA
Rfam family: Bacterial small subunit ribosomal RNA
Source: RNAcentral